AUUGAACGAUGGCGGCAGGCCUAACACAUGCAAGUCGAGCGAGCGGAGGACGGGUGAGUAAUGUAUGGGGACUGCCCGAUAGAGGGGGAUAACUACUGGGAACGGGGGCUAAUACCGCAUACUAUCGGAUAACCCAUAUUGGAUUAGCUAGUAGGUAAGGUAAUGGCUUACAUAGGCGACGAUCCCUAGCUGGUCUGAGAGGAUGAUCAGCCACACUGGGACUGAGACACGGCCCAGACUCCGACGGAGGCAGCGGUGGUGAAUAUGGCACAAUGGGCGCAAGCCUGAUGCAGCCAUGCCGCGUGUAUGAAGAAGGCCCUAGGGUUGUAAAGUACUUUCAGUCGGGAGGCGUUACCGACAGAAGAAGCACCGGCUAACUCCGUGCCAGCAGCCGCGGUAAUUC
This 403-nucleotide ribosomal RNA is filed under the name uncultured bacterium. RNAcentral's name for it is "partial 16S ribosomal RNA". It matches the Rfam family "Bacterial small subunit ribosomal RNA", at positions 30 to 526 of the family's 1533-position model. The record is from RNAcentral.